Rosa chinensis is the source of this 1378-nucleotide long non-coding RNA. RefSeq lists it as uncharacterized. The record is from RefSeq and is a predicted model, not a curated record. The transcript has 6 exons. Lineage: Eukaryota; Viridiplantae; Streptophyta; Magnoliopsida; Rosales; Rosaceae.
AGAGAGAGAGAUAGAGAGAUGUGUUGGUUUCGGUUGUUUGCUUGAUUUGUGCAGAAAGGGUAGAUAAUUCUGGAGCUUUUCAGAAUUGAAGGAGGACGAACACAGUAUUAAAACAAAUUGAUUGAGAGCUGGGUUGCUUUUAAUCGGUGGUACACAUAUCAUUUGGGUUACCUCUAGAGAAGCUACAUAGGUUUGGUUAGAAGCUGAGAUUUUUUCGUGCGGUCCGAGUCUUGGUCUCUUUGUAUCCGCUCUCUCUCUAUUCGAGAUUCUCCUCCAUGGCCUCCAUGACAAGACCCACAAAUGCUCCGGUGACUCCUGCAGCUCCCUACUCCAGUUCCCCAACCCCAAUUCUAGCUAUGACCAGCUCAGUUAAUCUCUGAUCCCAUUUCCAACUAACCCAACUCUCGGUCUGCAACAACCAAGAAAUCAGAGAAAGAAAUUGAAAAACCCAUUUGGCUACUCCAAGAUCUCCCUCCCUCUUCACUAGGGGUGGGUUCGUGAAACAGAAAACCGAAAAAAAUCGAGCCGAAAGUCGAACCGAAUCCGAAAAUAGCAGAACCGAAAGAAAACAAAACCGAAAUGAAAAAAUUGAACUGAACCAAACCGGUUCGGUUCGGUUUUAUGUUUUAGUGGGUCAAAACCAGACCAAAACAGAACAUAACAGCAUAUGCCAAAACGACGUCGUUUUACCAUUAAGUCAGAAAAUAAACCCUAAGGUCCUGAUAUAAAUAGUUUCUCACAGGCCAUAGCCGCAUUCUUCAGUUCCUUUCUUCAGAGCCUCCAAACUUCCAGAGCCUCUCCUUGUCAUUUUCAGUUCCUCUCCUCUCUCCCCAGAUCUUUUGAUUAUUGUUUGUCUUUUCAUUUUUCUAUUCGCUGCAGUAAUGAUAAAAGAUUUGGAGCAAGUGGUGGGAAACUAGCAAUGGUUUUGAACUCCUUUGAACAUCCACAUAUUCAGGUAAAGUGGUCAGCUAUUAAUGUAGUUGGCCAGUUGUCUAUUUAUUUGGCCCCAAGUUCAAUAUCAUCAACAGGUGUUUUCUGCACUGAAUCUGAAAGAGAAAAGAAAGUGAGGCAGCAUUAACAAUUCAAAAGAUGAAAAAAAAGUAACGAACAAGAACUGGUGGACGAUAGACUUGAAGUGGAGUGCUAUUGCAGAAGCAUGAUUAUCCAGCUCUGAUGAUGUAGAUUUGGACUAUCCUAAAUUCCUAAUCAUAAAAUUUCUGAGGCAACAAGAACCAAUUAUCAAACCUUUCUAGCUGUUUAGAGGAUAUAUUUCUAGAUAAUGUUUUUAGCUUUUUUUUCUUUUUUCUUUCCAUAUCGAAAUGGCUCCAUGGCCUUGAUUUUUUCCAUAUUGAAAAGGCUCCAAUGGCCAUAUUGAGAA